This 567-nucleotide ribosomal RNA is filed under the name uncultured archaeon. RNAcentral describes it as "bacterial SSU rRNA". It matches the Rfam family "Archaeal small subunit ribosomal RNA", at positions 326 to 899 of the family's 1478-position model. The record is from RNAcentral.
CGGGGUGCAGCAGGCGCGAAAACUCUACAAUGCAGGCAACUGCGAUAGGGGAACAUCGAGUGAUCCUCAUAUUGGGGGUCUGUCCACCCGUCUAAAAAACGGGUGUUAGCAAGGGCCGGGCAAGACCGGUGCCAGCCGCCGCGGUAAUACCGGCGGCUCGAGUGGUGGCCGAUAUUAUUGAGUCUAAAGGGUCCGUAGCCGGCUUUGCAAGUCUCUCGGGAAAUCCAGCGGCUUAACCGUUGGUCGUCCGGGGGGUACUACAUUGCUUGGGACUGGGAGAGGUAGGAGGUACUCAGGGGGUAGGAGUGAAAUCCUGUAAUCCUUUGGGGACCACCGGUGGCGAAGGCGUCCUACCAGAACAGGUCCGACGGUGAGGGACGAAAGCUAGGGGCACGAACCGGAUUAGAUACCCGGGUAGUCCUAGCCGUAAACGAUGCUCGCUAGGUGUCACAACAGUCGUGAACUGUUGUGGUGCCGUAGGGAAGCCGUGAAGCGAGCCACUUGGGAAGUACGACCGCAAGGUUAAACUUAAAGGAAUUGGCGGGGGAGCACAAGGGCGAAUUCGCG